RNAcentral lists this ribosomal RNA (253 nucleotides) under uncultured bacterium. RNAcentral describes it as "partial 16S ribosomal RNA". It matches the Rfam family "Bacterial small subunit ribosomal RNA", at positions 524 to 776 of the family's 1533-position model. The record is from RNAcentral.
UACAGAGGGCUCAAGCGUUGUUCGGAUUCAUUGGGCGUAAAGGGUGCGUAGGUGGCGGGGCAAGUUUGGGGUGAAAUCCCGGGGCUCAACCCCGGAACUGCACUGAAUACUGCCUUGCUUGAGCACUGGAGAGGGAACUGGAAUUUACGGUGUAGCAGUGAAAUGCGUAGAUAUCGUAAGGAAGACCAGUGGCGAAGGCGAGUUCCUGGACAGUUGCUGACACUGAGGCACGAAGGCUAGGGGAGCAAACGGG